GAAUUGACGGGGGCCCGCACAAGCGGUGGAGCAUGUGGUUUAAUUCGAUGCAACGCGAAGAACCUUACCUGGUCUUGACAUCCACAGAACUUUCCAGAGAUGGACUGGUGCCUUCGGGAACUGUGAGUGCACCGCGCAGCAGGUGUAUAACGGCCUGGCAGGAAUGUGGCUGGUCGAAGACGACAUCAGUAAAACGCUGCCCAUUCCGAACCAUUACGGCGUGGGUGAUUUUUCCGUCAUUAUCCAGGAUAAACG
RNAcentral lists this ribosomal RNA (255 nucleotides) under Salmonella enterica subsp. enterica serovar Kentucky. RNAcentral's name for it is "partial 16S ribosomal RNA". It matches the Rfam family "Bacterial small subunit ribosomal RNA", at positions 907 to 1182 of the family's 1533-position model. The record is from RNAcentral. Lineage: Bacteria; Pseudomonadati; Pseudomonadota; Gammaproteobacteria; Enterobacterales; Enterobacteriaceae.